UCGAGCGACUGAUUAGAAGCUUGCUUCUAUGACGUUAGCGGCGGACGGGUGAGUAACACGUGGGCAACCUGCCUGUAAGACUGGGAUAACUUCGGGAAACCGAAGCUAAUACCGGAUAGGAUCUUCUCCUUCAUGGGAGAUGAUUGAAAGAUGGUUUCGGCUAUCACUUACAGAUGGGCCCGCGGUGCAUUAGCUAGUUGGUGAGGUAACGGCUCACCAAGGCAACGAUGCAUAGCCGACCUGAGAGGGUGAUCGGCCACACUGGGACUGAGACACGGCCCAGACUCCUACGGGAGGCAGCAGUAGGGAAUCUUCCGCAAUGGACGAAAGUCUGACGGAGCAACGCCGCGUGAGUGAUGAAGGCUUUCGGGUCGUAGAACUCUGUUGUUAGGGAAGAACAAGUACAAGAGUAACUGCUCGUACCUUGACGGUACCUAACCAGAAAGCCACGGCUAACUACGUGCCAGCAG
RNAcentral lists this ribosomal RNA (470 nucleotides) under Bacillus sp. 17864. Its description in RNAcentral is "bacterial SSU rRNA". It matches the Rfam family "Bacterial small subunit ribosomal RNA", at positions 62 to 514 of the family's 1533-position model. The record is from RNAcentral. Lineage: Bacteria; Bacillati; Bacillota; Bacilli; Caryophanales; Bacillaceae.